CCGACGGUGAGGGACGAAAGCUGGGGGAGCAAACCGGAUUAGAUACCCGGGUAGUCCCAGCCGUAAACGAUGUGCGUUAGGUGUAUCGGUGACCACGAGUCACCGAGGUGCCGAAGAGAAAUCGUGAAACGUACCGCCUGGGAAGUACGGUCGCAAGGCUGAAACUUAAAGGAAUUGGCGGGGGAGCACCACAACAGGUGGAGCCUGCGGUUUAGUCGGACUCAACGCCGGGAAACUCACCAGAUAAGACAGCUGAAUGAUAGUCGGGCUGAAGACUCUACUUGACUAGCUGAGAGGAGGUGCAUGGCCGUCGUCAGUUCGUACUGUGAAGCAUCCUGUUAAGUC
RNAcentral lists this ribosomal RNA (345 nucleotides) under uncultured archaeon. RNAcentral describes it as "bacterial SSU rRNA". It matches the Rfam family "Archaeal small subunit ribosomal RNA", at positions 691 to 1035 of the family's 1478-position model. The record is from RNAcentral.